GUGGGAGAGGCUUAGUGGUUUGGCGUGAGAUUGCAACAUUCCCUUUACACGGAAUCAAAGAUCUUGAGGUCGUGGGUUCGAUUCCCACCUUCCACU
This 96-nucleotide transfer RNA is filed under the name Moesziomyces antarcticus. RNAcentral's name for it is "Pseudozyma antarctica tRNA". It matches the Rfam family "tRNA". Rfam says of the family: Transfer RNA (tRNA) molecules are approximately 80 nucleotides in length. The record is from Rfam by way of RNAcentral. Lineage: Eukaryota; Fungi; Basidiomycota; Ustilaginomycetes; Ustilaginales; Ustilaginaceae.